RNAcentral lists this long non-coding RNA (257 nucleotides) under Capsicum annuum. RNAcentral's name for it is "long non-coding RNA (CANN_LNC017600)". Lineage: Eukaryota; Viridiplantae; Streptophyta; Magnoliopsida; Solanales; Solanaceae. The record is from RNAcentral.
AACAGAAAAGCUGAAAAUCUUAUUCAAAAGAGCCAUUUUUCCACUGUUUUGCCCCUUAGAGUUUCAGCAAGUUCACAAGCUGCACCUGUUGAAACAUCAACAAGCACUUCUAUUCCUUCUGAAAUGAAAGCUUGGAGUUAUACUGAUUAUGGAAGUGUUGAUGUUUUGAAGUUUGAGUCUAAUGUUUCAGUUCCUGAAAUUAAGGAAGAUCAAGUCUUGAUUAAGGUUGUUGCUGCUGCCCUUAACCCUGUUGAUUU